This 441-nucleotide ribosomal RNA is filed under the name uncultured bacterium. RNAcentral describes it as "partial 16S ribosomal RNA". It matches the Rfam family "Bacterial small subunit ribosomal RNA", at positions 338 to 795 of the family's 1533-position model. The record is from RNAcentral.
CCUACGGGAGGCUGCAGUGGGGAAUAUUGCACAAUGGGGGAAACCCUGAUGCAGCGACGCCGCGUGAGCGAGGAAGUAUUUCGGUAUGUAAAGCUCUGUCAGCAGGGAAGAAGAAUGACGGUACCUUAAGAAUAAGCACCGGCUAAAUACGUGCCAGCAGCCGCGGUAAUACGUAGGGUGCCAGCGUUAUACGGAUUUAUGGGGAGUAAAGGGAGCGCAGGCGGUUCUGCAAGUCUGAUGUGAAACCCCCGGGGUCAACCGCGGGACUGCAGUUGAAACUGCGGGACUGGAGUGGCGGAGGAGGAGGCGGAAUGCGAGGUGUAGCGGUGAAAUGCGUAGAGAUCAGGAGGAACACCGGUGGCGAAGGCGGCAUACUGGACGAUGACUGACGCUGAGGCUCGAAAGCGUGGGGAGCAAACAGGAUUAGAUACCCUUGUAGUC